Molecule: long non-coding RNA, 403 nt
Filed under: Homo sapiens (human)
Lineage: Eukaryota; Metazoa; Chordata; Mammalia; Primates; Hominidae
Description: non-protein coding lnc-RNF170-3:1
Source: RNAcentral
GGGCUGCCAAGGUCCAGUUGGAGGCUCAGGUCAUGGCCACCCAGGAAAUGGAACAGGGAGAAAAGGAUCCAGAAACUGAUGAGCACAGGGAAAGAAAACCUUUUGCAGAAACAGAUGAGGAAGACAAGGGGGUUGAUGUAGAGAAGCUACAAGUAAUUGCAGCUGCCAUUAAACAGGGUCUUGCUGCAAAAAGAUAAAGGCCUCAAAAGUAUAUACAAAAGCUUGCAUCAACACCGAGAACAUAACUGAAUGUUAUUUUGAGAACACAGAAUGCAGAAAUGGAAUUAUAGAUAUCCUAUACAGUUGCUGACUUUGCUUCAAGAAUACAACAUAGACAUGUAGAAGACUGAGGAGAGGAAGAAAAACUAAUUAAAAUAUUUCAAGAGCAACAAAAGAGGUGGCA